GGGGGUAUAGCUCAGUGGCAGAGCAUGUGUUUGGCAUGCAGGAUGCCCUGGAUUCAAUCCUCAGUACCUCCA
RNAcentral lists this transfer RNA (72 nucleotides) under Camelus bactrianus (Bactrian camel). It matches the Rfam family "tRNA". From Rfam's summary of the family: Transfer RNA (tRNA) molecules are approximately 80 nucleotides in length. Their secondary structure includes four short double-helical elements and three loops (D, anti-codon, and T loops). RNAcentral also lists the same sequence under 1 other name. The record is from Rfam by way of RNAcentral. Lineage: Eukaryota; Metazoa; Chordata; Mammalia; Artiodactyla; Camelidae.